GUGGCCUAAUGGUUAAGGCGCUGGUUUUCGGUUCAAGAAAAACACCAGAGAUUAGGAGUUCGAAUCUUCUC
This 71-nucleotide transfer RNA is filed under the name Capronia americana. Its description in RNAcentral is "Capronia semiimmersa tRNA". It matches the Rfam family "tRNA", at positions 7 to 64 of the family's 71-position model. Rfam says of the family: Transfer RNA (tRNA) molecules are approximately 80 nucleotides in length. Their secondary structure includes four short double-helical elements and three loops (D, anti-codon, and T loops). Lineage: Eukaryota; Fungi; Ascomycota; Eurotiomycetes; Chaetothyriales; Herpotrichiellaceae. The record is from Rfam by way of RNAcentral.